This 245-nucleotide ribosomal RNA is filed under the name uncultured bacterium. RNAcentral describes it as "partial 16S ribosomal RNA". It matches the Rfam family "Bacterial small subunit ribosomal RNA", at positions 58 to 334 of the family's 1533-position model. The record is from RNAcentral.
CAAGUCGAGUGGGUUUAGACCCACGGCAGACGGCUGCGUAACACGUUGGUACCUGCCCCGAACUCAGGGAUAACCCGCCGAAAGGCGGGCUAAUACCGGAUGGUCUCGUAAGAGUAAAGCUUUUGCGGUUCGGGAGGGGCCUGCGGCCUAUCAGUUAGUUGGUGCGGGUAACGGCCCACCAAGGCGACGACGGGUAGCUGGUCUGAGAGGAUGGCCAGCCACAUUGGGACUGAGAGACGGCCCAG